UAGGAUUGACUUCCUAUAACACUCUUAAAUAACUCAAGAUCAUUUAUCAAUUUAUUACGCCUAAAAUUGCAUUGUUUUGUCUUGAUAAAGUUUAUUAUUGAAAAAUUAGAGUAAAAUUUUAGAAAUAAAUAAAUUUUUGAAUGCACAAUAUAAUUUUUUGUCUCAACUAUUUUUGCUAUAGAUUUGCCACAGUUUUGGAGACUUGAUAACUUAAAUUAAGUGUCAGAUUUGGGUGAGAGAAGAGAAGCAAGACAAAAAACAACAAAUCUCAAUUGUAUUUGCAGAUUAGUUGGCAUCUUGCUCUUUGUUAGAUUCUAAUGAGAAAUUAGCUAUUUUUGGGUCUUGAUUCUCAUUCCUUUUUAUGGAUGUGAGGAUGUGAGAGAGACGAUUGGGGUGGUGGUGCUAGGCAGGGUACGGAGGGGAAGCAGAGUGCAUGUGCCAGAACAAAAGAAAAAUGAAUUUUAGGUUUGCAGAAUUGGUUUGCAUUGUUU
RNAcentral lists this unclassified non-coding RNA (491 nucleotides) under Hevea brasiliensis (rubber tree). Lineage: Eukaryota; Viridiplantae; Streptophyta; Magnoliopsida; Malpighiales; Euphorbiaceae. The record is from RNAcentral.